AGAGUUUGAUCCUGGCUCAGGACGAACGCUGGCGGCGUGCUUAACACAUGCAAGUCGAACGAGGUAGCAAUACCUAGUGGCGGACGGGUGAGUAACACGUAGGUAACCUGCCUCAUAGUGGGGGAUACCCAGCCGAAAGGUUGGCUAAUACCGCAUAAGCUCUGCAGUUGUAAUACUGUAGAGGAAAGAUUUAUUGCUAUGAGAGGGGCCUGCGUAUGAUUAGCUAGUUGGUGAGGUAACGGCUCACCAAGGCGACGAUCAUUAGCUGGUCUGAGAGGACGAUCAGCCACACUGGAACUGAGACACGGUCCAGACUCCUACGGGAGGCAGCAGUGGGGAAUUUUCCGCAAUGGGCGAAAGCCUGACGGAGCAAUGCCGCGUGGGUGAUGAAGUAUUUCGGUACGUAAAACCCUUUCAGCAGGGACGAAGCGAGUGACGGUACCUGCAGAAGAAGCAUCGGCUAACUACGUGCCAGCAGCCGCGGUAAUACGUAGGAUGCAAGCGUUGUCCGGAAUUAUUGGGCGUAAAGCGAACGUAGGCGGUUAUUUAAGUCUGGACUUAAAGACUGGGGCUCAACCCCAGGAAUGGUUCGGAUACUGGAUGACUAGAGGAUGUCAGAGGAAAGUGGAAUUCCCAGUGUAGCGGUGAAAUGCGUAGAUAUUGGGAGGAACACCAGUGGCGAAAGCGGCUUUCUGGGACAUUCCUGACGCUGAGGUUCGAAAGCUCGGGGAGCAAACAGGAUUAGAUACCCUGGUAGUCCGAGCCGUAAACGAUGGACACUAGGUGUCGGGGGUAUCGACCCCCCCGGUGCCGUAGCUAACGCGUUAAGUGUCCCGCCUGGGGAGUACGGUCGCAAGACUGAAACUCAAAGGAAUUGACGGGGGCCCGCACAAGCGGUGGAGUAUGUGGCUUAAUUCGAUGCAACGCGAAGAACCUUACCUGGCCUUGACAUGCAAGUGGUAGAACCAUGAAAGUGGGACGACCCCGCAAGGGGAGCUUGCACAGGUGCUGCAUGGCUGUCGUCAGCUCGUGUCGUGAGAUGUUGGGUUAAGUCCCGCAACGAGCGCAACCCUUGUGUCCUGUUGCCACUCCCUCGAGAGAGGGAAGCACUCUGGACAGACUGCCUCGCUUAAACGAGGAGGAAGGUGGGGAUGACGUCAAGUCAGUAUGGCCCUUACGGCCAGGGCUGCACACGUACUACAAUGCGCGGCACAAAGGGAAGCUAGGCCGUCAGGCGGAGCAAAUCCCAAAAAACCGCGCCCAGUUCAGAUUGCCGUCUGCAACUCGACGGCAUGAAGCCGGAAUCGCUAGUAAUGGCGCAUCAGCUACGGCGCCGUGAAUACGUUCCCAGGCCUUGUACACACCGCCCGUCACAUCAUGAAAGCCGGUUGUACCCGAAGUCCGCAUUGCCAACCCGCAAGGGGGGCAGCGGCCGAAGGUAUGGCUGGUGAUUGGGAUGAAGUCGUAACAAGGUAGCCGU
This 1480-nucleotide ribosomal RNA is filed under the name uncultured bacterium. Its description in RNAcentral is "16S ribosomal RNA". It matches the Rfam family "Bacterial small subunit ribosomal RNA". The record is from RNAcentral.